AGAUGUUGGGUUAAGUCCCGCAACGAGCGCAACCCUUGUCAUUAGUUGCCAUCAUUUAGUUGGGCACUCUAAUGAGACUGCCGGUGACAAACCGGAGGAAGGUGGGGAUGACGUCAAGUCCUCAUGGCCCUUAUGACCAGGGCUUCACACGUCAUACAAUGGUCGGUACAGAGGGUAGCCAAGCCGCGAGGUGGAGCCAAUCCCAGAAAACCGAUCGUAGUCCGGAUUGCACUCUGCAACUCGAGUGCAUGAAGUCGGAAUCGCUAGUAAUCGCAGGUCAGCAUACUGCGGUGAAUACGUUCCCGGGUCUUGUACACACCGCCCGUCACACCAUGGGAGUGGGGGAUACCAGAAGUAGAUAGGGUAACCGCAAGGAGCCCGUUUACCACGGUAUGUUUCAUGACUGGGGUGAAGUCGUAACAAGGUAGCCGUAGGGGAACCUGCGGCUGGAUCACCUCCUUU
This 462-nucleotide ribosomal RNA is filed under the name Kingella kingae. Its description in RNAcentral is "bacterial SSU rRNA". It matches the Rfam family "Bacterial small subunit ribosomal RNA", at positions 1070 to 1533 of the family's 1533-position model. The record is from RNAcentral. Lineage: Bacteria; Pseudomonadati; Pseudomonadota; Betaproteobacteria; Neisseriales; Neisseriaceae.